GACGAACGCUGGCGGCGUGCUUAACACAUGCAAGUCGAGCGGAAAGGCCCUUCGGGGUACUCGAGCGGCGAACGGGUGAGUAACACGUGAGUAAUCUGCCCUUGGCUUUGGGAUAACUACCGGAAACGGUGGCUAAUACCGGAUACGACAACCGUCUGCAUGGGCUGGUUGUGGAAAGUUUUUUCGGCCAGGGAUGUGCUCGCGGCCUAUCAGCUUGUUGGUGGGGUAAUGGCCUACCAAGGCUUCGACGGGUAGCCGGCCUGAGAGGGUGACCGGCCACACUGGGACUGAGACACGGCCCAGACUCCUACGGGAGGCAGCAGUGGGGAAUAUUGGACAAUGGGCGGAAGCCUGAGCCAGCAACGCCGCGUGAGGGAUGACGGCCUUCGGGUUGUAAACCUCUUUCAGUACCGACGAAGCGCCGAUGAUGGUGGUGACGGUAGGUACAGAAGAAGCACCGGCCAACUACGUG
Molecule: ribosomal RNA, 472 nt
Filed under: uncultured bacterium
Lineage: Bacteria
Description: partial 16S ribosomal RNA
Rfam family: Bacterial small subunit ribosomal RNA
Source: RNAcentral